UAUGAGAGUUUGAUCCUGGCUCAGGACGAACGCUGGCGGCGUGCCUAAUACAUGCAAGUCGAACGCUUCUUUUCCCACCGGAGCUUGCUCCACCGGGAAAAGAGGAGUGGCGAACGGGUGAGUAACACGUGGGUAACCUGCCCAUCAGAAGGGGAUAACACUUGGAAACAGGUGCUAAUACCGUAUAACAAUCGAAACCGCAUGGUUUCAAUUUGAAAGGCGCUUUACGGUGCCGCUGAUGGAUGGACCCGCGGUGCAUUAGCUAGUUGGUGAGGUAACGGCUCACCAAGGCAACGAUGCAUAGCCGACCUGAGAGGGUGAUCGGCCACAUUGGGACUGAGACACGGCCCAAACUCCUACGGGAGGCAGCAGUAGGGAAUCUUCGGCAAUGGACGAAAGUCUGACCGAGCAACGCCGCGUGAGUGAAGAAGGUUUUCGGAUCGUAAAACUCUGUUGUUAGAGAAGAACAAGGGUGAGAGUAACUGUUCACCCCUUGACGGUAUCUAACCAGAAAGCCACGGCUAACUACGUGCCAGCAGCCGCGGUAAUACGUAGGUGGCAAGCGUUGUCCGGAUUUAUUGGGCGUAAAGCGAGCGCAGGCGGUUUCUUAAGUCUGAUGUGAAAGCCCCCGGCUCAACCGGGGAGGGUCAUUGGAAACUGGGAGACUUGAGUGCAGAAGAGGAGAGUGGAAUUCCAUGUGUAGCGGUGAAAUGCGUAGAUAUAUGGAGGAACACCAGUGGCGAAGGCGGCUCUCUGGUCUGUAACUGACGCUGAGGCUCGAAAGCGUGGGGAGCAAACAGGAUUAGAUACCCUGGUAGUCCACGCCGUAAACGAUGAGUGCUAAGUGUUGGAGGGUUUCCGCCCUUCAGUGCUGCAGCUAACGCAUUAAGCACUCCGCCUGGGGAGUACGACCGCAAGGUUGAAACUCAAAGGAAUUGACGGGGGCCCGCACAAGCGGUGGAGCAUGUGGUUUAAUUCGAAGCAACGCGAAGAACCUUACCAGGUCUUGACAUCCUUUGACCACUCUAGAGAUAGAGCUUCCCCUUCGGGGGCAAAGUGACAGGUGGUGCAUGGUUGUCGUCAGCUCGUGUCGUGAGAUGUUGGGUUAAGUCCCGCAACGAGCGCAACCCUUAUUGUUAGUUGCCAUCAUUUAGUUGGGCACUCUAGCAAGACUGCCGGUGACAAACCGGAGGAAGGUGGGGAUGACGUCAAAUCAUCAUGCCCCUUAUGACCUGGGCUACACACGUGCUACAAUGGGAAGUACAACGAGUCGCAAAGUCGCGAGGCUAAGCUAAUCUCUUAAAGCUUCUCUCAGUUCGGAUUGUAGGCUGCAACUCGCCUACAUGAAGCCGGAAUCGCUAGUAAUCGCGGAUCAGCACGCCGCGGUGAAUACGUUCCCGGGCCUUGUACACACCGCCCGUCACACCACGAGAGUUUGUAACACCCGAAGUCGGUGAGGUAACCUUUUGGAGCCAGCCGCCUAAGGUGGGAUAGAUGAUUGGGGUGAAGUCGUAACAAGGUAGCCGUAUCGGAAGGUGCGGCUGGAUCACCUCCUUUCUAAGGAA
This 1565-nucleotide ribosomal RNA is filed under the name Enterococcus mundtii. RNAcentral describes it as "bacterial SSU rRNA". It matches the Rfam family "Bacterial small subunit ribosomal RNA". Lineage: Bacteria; Bacillati; Bacillota; Bacilli; Lactobacillales; Enterococcaceae. The record is from RNAcentral.